GACGAACGCUGGCGGCGUGCCUAAUACAUGCAAGUCGAGCGGACGAAUCGAAAGCUUGCUUUUGAUUCGUUAGCGGCGGACGGGUGAGUAACACGUGGGCAACCUGCCCUGUAGACGGGGAUAACACCGAGAAAUCGGUGCUAAUACCGGAUAACACGAAAUGUCGCAUGACGUUUCGUUGAAAGACGGCGCAAGCUGUCGCUACAGGAUGGGCCCGCGGCGCAUUAGCUAGUUGGUGAGGUAACGGCUCACCACGGCGACGAUGCGUAGCCGACCUGAGAGGGUGAUCGGCCACACUGGGACUGAGACAUGGCCCAGACUCCUACGGGAGGCAGCAGUAGGGAAUCUUCCGCAAUGGACGAAAGUCUGACGGAGCAACGCCGCGUGAGCGAAGAAGGCCUUCGGGUCGUAAAGCUCUGUUGUUAGGGAAGAACAAGUAACGCAGUAACUGGCGUUACCGUGACGGUACCUAACGAGAAAGCCACGGCUAACUACGUG
This 498-nucleotide ribosomal RNA is filed under the name uncultured bacterium. RNAcentral describes it as "partial 16S ribosomal RNA". It matches the Rfam family "Bacterial small subunit ribosomal RNA", at positions 28 to 507 of the family's 1533-position model. The record is from RNAcentral.